Molecule: long non-coding RNA, 949 nt
Organism: Aedes aegypti (yellow fever mosquito)
Lineage: Eukaryota; Metazoa; Arthropoda; Insecta; Diptera; Culicidae
Exons: 2
Source: RefSeq, a predicted model, not a curated record
CAACACUGCACCUAGCAAAUCAAAACAAAAACAUCGUGCAGCAUGACACAAUAAUGGUUGUGAAAAAUCUUCAGUGGAACUUUUGCCUUGCUUCUCCAAGGAACAGGACAGGUUCACGGCGAUUCCGUUUAAUUCAUAGGCCUGUUGGCGGCGCACUGUUAUCAGACUUCACUUCCCUUUUCUGCUAGCCAAAACAAGUUCAUUCUCAUCAUAACGAAGCUGCCAAAUUCAAGUGUCAAAAAACUUCGGAAGUAAGUUCGGAAGCCGGAAGUCUGGACUUCCGAACUUCAAUUUAGUGCUGGCGACGAGGUUGUGAUCAAGGACAACAAUUCAACGUAAGUGGCCCUGAAACAGAGUGAAAAAACAACUUGUCAUUGUUAGUCAAACUAUUACGCAAUAAACAUCAAACUUAUUUCAAACGAAACUGUAUACUUCAAGCCAUUUUCAAAAAUCUGAGUAGAAUUCAAGCUUCGAAACCGUCAGCAAAAACCUACGAUUCCCAUUGCAACAUCCCUGGUUGCGGUACUUGGUCCGUCUCCCGGUACGACCCCAAGUUCCCCGCGGCAACAUCCCUGGUUGCUGACAUUUGGUCCAUCUCUCGGCAGGUACGAUUCCAAUUUCCCCGCGGCAACAUCCCUGGUUGCUGUCAUUUGGUCCAUCUCCCGGCAGGUACGAUUCCAAGUUCCCAGCGGCAACAUCCCUGGUUGCUGACACUGAUUAUGAUCGUCUGUAAUUACUUCAGAGUUACAAAUUAUGGUAUUUGUCAGUUAUUUCUCCUGCUUGGGAUAUGAACACAUAUAUAAAUGUGCAUGCACUCGUGAAGAGGAAAAAUAUCAACGUCAUAUGCAGCUAAGAUUCCGCUGUCAUAAAACGUCAUAUGCAGCCAGUCCUAUGGAUGAAAAGGUGAAAAGUAUUGUAUUGAAAAUAAACUGUUAUUGAAAACCUCAAA